Molecule: long non-coding RNA, 309 nt
Organism: Brassica napus (rape)
Lineage: Eukaryota; Viridiplantae; Streptophyta; Magnoliopsida; Brassicales; Brassicaceae
Exons: 2
Source: RefSeq, a predicted model, not a curated record
UUAUUGGCCAAAUGGCCAUAUUUUGGAGAUAAGUCAAGGAAGUAGCUAUGAUUUUGACAUAAUUCAUUGUCUGACUUUUGUGCUUCCUUCUAUCCGGUUAUAUCCUUUCAAAUAACAGCUGUAUUCAACACAUAUGAUGUAAGGGUAUGAUCGAGAGGAGUGGAUAACAGUUGUAAGUGUGUCAUAAACAAUUCUAACCUGACGACGAACUGAAGAUGACGACAAGUAUAUUCUAUACUGAUUGUAUGAGUUUCCAUACUAUAUACCGUAUGUGGAAUAGUAAUAUUAUAAAUGUAGUUCUAAGUGAAA